UGCUUCAUAACAUGAAGGAAACAGUCAACCUAGUCAAUAAGGAUUGUUGACUCCAAGGAUUUACAAAGGCUAGAUGCAAUAAAGGUUCCAAAAGGGGGUUUUGUCUUUCCAAAUAUUGCACACCUAUACUGAGACCAUGAGCAGUGUGAACUCUGCUGCUUGUCUGCUGGCAAGGAAUCACUUUUACCAGAAUAUCAGUCCUACCAACAAAAUACAACCUGUGUACAGUUUCCCUGCUAGUCUGUCACAAGCAAGGCAAAGGCAAAUGAUGGUCUGGAAACCUGCCUCCUCACACCAAGGUUUGCCAAGACAGGAGCCCAGACGAUGGGUAUUGACCUUGGUUUGGAAAAGUCCAUAAGCCAUCCCAGCCUCAUCGAAACAGCUGGGUUCUGCAGACUGUGUGAUCAAACAGACAUCUGAACCACACCUUGUAUAAAGACUUCACGUAACAUUCCCUGAGCCACAGCAUAUUCUUUCACUUUUGAAACCUCCAAAAACACUAGAGAUGGCAUUUAAAGACUUGGCCCAUCUGAUGUAGACCCUAAAAGAGUUUUCUUAGCAGUUCUAGCUGUAAAUAUUAAGUAAUUUGUCAAGGAAGAUACAAGAGAAAAAAAAACCCUGCAUGAUGGCAUGAUGCAUUCCCUUAACAACUGCCUCUCAUUUGCCCCCAAACAGCAAAAGAGCAUCUCUUGUGUUCUCCUUAACCCUUACUGUAGGGAGUGUGCAAUAGGGUGCAUCAGUUGCCCCCUAAAAAUGAAAAGUUCCUCCGAUCAUGAUGCAUUUUUGUUUUUAUGUUCCUUUUGGUAAGAAAACACACUGGGUGAAAUAUUUUGACAAAAUUCAAAAGUUUAAUGGUGGCACCAGGAGCUCAAAGUUAUGGAAAAAGCUGCUAUUUUAUGACUUUUAUGACAAAAUUUCAAUCACUUUUCAUGAAACAUUAUGGCACCUUAUAGAGUAUACCAAAUAUCUUAGAUACACAUUUUUAGUACAUAUUCUAAAUAUAUUAUCAAGCACAGUUUGAGUUUUAGCUGUUCA
Long non-coding RNA from Neoarius graeffei (lesser salmon catfish), 1035 nucleotides. RefSeq lists it as uncharacterized. NCBI's taxonomy places the organism in Eukaryota, Metazoa, Chordata, Actinopteri, Siluriformes, Ariidae. The record is from RefSeq and is a predicted model, not a curated record. The transcript is spliced from 4 exons.